Molecule: long non-coding RNA, 440 nt
Organism: Dioscorea cayenensis subsp. rotundata (Guinea yam)
Lineage: Eukaryota; Viridiplantae; Streptophyta; Magnoliopsida; Dioscoreales; Dioscoreaceae
Exons: 4
Source: RefSeq, a predicted model, not a curated record
UGGAAUUAUAAUUAAUACCGGCUUGUCUUAUCCUCUCCCUCUCUCGAGAUUCCUACAAGUCGCCUCCAUGUCCGCAGCCGAUCGUGACGCCGACGACCACCAGACCGCCUUCCUCAUCAUCUCCUCCUUCACUUGGAUACGAUCGGCGACCUCUAUUGCUCCUCCGCCUGAUGUCUCGGAUGUCGGACAAUCAUCACCAUUGUUGCCAUUUCGAGGAUUUCAGUUCUAGGUCUGCUAACAAAUGACUAUAAUUUUGAUCGCAAGUUGACAAUCUUGGCCUAGAGUGCUUCCGAAGUGGGUUCAUUGAUUCUAGGUAUCAAAUACUGUUUUCAAAGGAGAAGAUGAUGGUGGUGGAGAAGCUCUCUUCCUUAUAAGAUGAAGAAUAGGGUGGUUAAAAUUGUUAUGAUCCUAUUAAUUGCCCAUGCAUUGGCAGUCAAAUU